Molecule: ribosomal RNA, 119 nt
Filed under: uncultured bacterium
Lineage: Bacteria
Description: partial 16S ribosomal RNA
Rfam family: Bacterial small subunit ribosomal RNA
Source: RNAcentral
AAUACGUUCCCGGGCCUUGUACACACCGCCCGUCACACCACGAAAGUGGGUAACACCCGAAGCCGGUGGCCCAACCCUUUGGGAGGGAGCCGUCGAAGGUGGGAUCCGCGAUUGGGGUG